Molecule: ribosomal RNA, 1390 nt
Filed under: bacterium E2-28
Lineage: Bacteria
Description: partial 16S ribosomal RNA
Rfam family: Bacterial small subunit ribosomal RNA
Source: RNAcentral
ACUCGCUCUGUUUAUCCUUGUCAGUCGAGCGGCGCGCGGAAAGUAGUUUGCUACUUUUGGCGGCGAGCGGCGGAUGGGUGAAUUAUGCCUGGGACAUUGCCCCCUCGAGGGGGAUAACAGUUGGAAUCAACUGCUAAUACCGCACACGCCCUACGGGGGAAAGCAGGGGACCUUCGCGCCUUGCGCGAUUGGAUAUGCCCGGGUGGGAUUAGCUAGUUGGUGAGGUAAUGGCUCACCAUGGCGAAAUCCCUCUGUGGUCUGAGAGGAUGAUCAACCACACUGGAACUGAGACCCUGUCCAGACUCCUACGGGAGGCAGCAGUGGGGAAUAUUGCACUGUGGGGGAAACCCUGAUGCCCCCCUGCCGCGUGUGUGAAAAACGCCUUCGGGUUGUAAAGCGCUUUCAACGAGGAGGAAACGUCUGUAGCUAAUAUCUGCUGACUGUGACGUUACUAUCAUAAAACGCCCCGGAUAUCUCCGUGCCCGCCGCCGCGGUAAUACGGAGGGUCGCAAGCUGAUUAAUCACAAUUAGUGGGCCUAUUAAAGCGCACGCAUGGCGGUUGUACUAACUUAGAUGCGAAAGCCCCCGGGUCUCAACCUGGAGAUUUGCAUUUAAAACUGUCCAGCUAGAGUAUUGUAGAGGGGGGGUAAAUUUCCCAGGUGUAACGGUGAAAUGGAUACAUAUCUGGAGGAAUCCCGGUGGCAGAAGGCCGGCCCUCUGGACAAACAGACUCACGCUCAGGUGAGAAAGCGUGGGGAGCACACAGGAUUAGAUCCCCUGGUAGUCCACGCCGUAAACGAUGUAGAUUUGGAGGGUGUGUCCUUGAGACGUGGCUUCCGGAGAUAACGCGUUAAAUCGACCGCCUGGGGAGUAUGGCGCCAAGGUUAAAAUUCAAAUGAAUUGAGGGGGGCCCGCCCAAGCGGUGGAGCAUGUGGUUUAAUUGGAUGCAACGCGAAGACCCUUCCCUGUCCUUGACAUGUCUGGAAUCUUGCAGAGAUGAUGGAGUGCCUUCGGGAAUCAGAACACAGGGGCGGCAUGGUGUUGUUCAGCUGUCGUUGGGAGAGGUUGGGUUAAGUCCCGCAACGAGCGCAACCCCUUUCCUUUUUUUCCAGCACGUAAUGGUGGGAACUCAAGGGAGACUGCCGGUGAUAAACCGGAGGAAGGUGGGGAGGACGUCAAGUCAUCAUGGCCCUUACGGCCAGGGCUACACACUUCAUACAAUGGCGGGUACAGAGGGCGGCAAGCCAGGGGUAUGGACCGAAUCCCAAAAAGCUCUUCCUAUUCCGGAUUGGAGUUUGCAAUUCGAUUCCAUGAAUUGGGAAUCGCUAGUAAUCCCAAAUCAGAAUGUUGCGGUGAAUACGUUCCCGGGCCUUGUACACACCGCCCGUCA